RNAcentral lists this ribosomal RNA (253 nucleotides) under uncultured bacterium. Its description in RNAcentral is "partial 16S ribosomal RNA". It matches the Rfam family "Bacterial small subunit ribosomal RNA", at positions 524 to 776 of the family's 1533-position model. The record is from RNAcentral.
UACGGAGGGGGCUAGCGUUGUUCGGAAUUACUGGGCGUAAAGCGCGCGUAGGCGGCUUUGUAAGUUAGAGGUGAAAGCCCGGAGCUCAACUCCGGAAUUGCCUUUAAGACUGCAUCGCUAGAAUCAUGGAGAGGUGAGUGGAAUUCCGAGUGUAGAGGUGAAAUUCGUAGAUAUUCGGAAGAACACCAGUGGCGAAGGCGGCUCACUGGACCGGUUCUGACGCUGAGGCGCGAAAGCGUGGGGAGCAAACGGG